Molecule: ribosomal RNA, 500 nt
Filed under: Lachnotalea glycerini
Lineage: Bacteria; Bacillati; Bacillota; Clostridia; Lachnospirales; Lachnospiraceae
Description: bacterial LSU rRNA
Rfam family: Bacterial large subunit ribosomal RNA
Source: RNAcentral
AGGUCAUGCUAGAAAGAGCACAGGGCGGAUGCCUUGGCACUAAGAGCCGAUGAAAGACGCGAUAAGCUGCGAAAAGCUUCGGGGAGGAGCAAAUAUCCUACGAUCCGGAGAUAUCUGAAUGGGGAAACCCGGCUGGAAAGACUCCAGUCACUGUAUGGUGAAUCCAUAGCCAUACAGAGGGAACCCGGUGAACUGAAACAUCUAAGUAGCCGGAGGAAAAGAAAGAAAACUCGAUUUCCAAAGUAGCGGCGAGCGAAAUGGAAGGAGCCUAAACCUGGGUGCGUGCACCCAGGGGUUAAGGACUGCAAUAAGUGACUUAGAGGUUAAUAGAAUGGUUUUGGGAAAGCCAGCCAGAGAGGGUGAAAGCCCCGUAAAUGAAAGCCAAAGAGAGCGAGCAGGAUCCAAAGUACCACGAGACACGAGAAACCUUGUGGGAAGUAGGGGGGACCACCCCCCAAGGCUAAAUACUACUUAGUGACCGAUAGCGCAUAGUACUGUGA